This is a long non-coding RNA of Etheostoma cragini (Arkansas darter), 1423 nucleotides long. RefSeq lists it as uncharacterized. The record is from RefSeq and is a predicted model, not a curated record. Lineage: Eukaryota; Metazoa; Chordata; Actinopteri; Perciformes; Percidae. The transcript has 2 exons.
UAUUUAAACAUUUUAUAGAUCCAAUAAAAGCUCAACUAGCCGCAACAUUCAUGCCCGCUCCACUUUUACGCACGGCUAUUUCUUUACGUUUUAGUGCAACUAUUCUAAUGUGCGCCUCCAGUAAGAAGACAUAUCCCAGAGAUAAGCAAGACAAUGUAAUGUUUGGAUGAAUAAUCAUUUCCAUUACAUUUAUUUACAAAUGUUUCCCUAUGUGUUCCCAUUACGCAUGUAGGAUAUAACUAUGCGUAAAUCCCAUUAACAUACACACACAAUCAAAGAGAACUCAUUGUUCUACACGGAUCAUGUUGGUGCAGGAUUUCAAAAUACCUGCAGCUGUAUUUUACAUGUAUAGUUAGAAAUGAGCAACAUUUUUGUGGGAUUCAUUUGAAAAUCCUGAUUGUGAACAACUUAAAUAUCUUGAUAUAAAUUGCCAUACAUGCUAACAAUUUUGUAUUGCAGUUGUACUUUCCACUUAGGCUAAAGCAAAUUAGGACAAUAAAUGCCAGGUACGUUUUUCAGUUAAUGAAUUUCUUUGAUUUGGUAAACAUGCCACAGUGCACAUUCCCUGGCUCUACGCUCUGAGGCCACCGUGGAGCUGGAUUUGGAAAGGCUGCAACCUGACUCUAAUGUGUUGUGAAUGAGAGACCUGAGCUCGGAUUAAGACCGCCGCGGCUGGCCUGGCCCCACAACCAAUGUGCACAUGGGGAUCCAAGGGGCUCCUUGUGGCACAUGUGAAACACAACCUUAAAAUAUCACACACACUAAGACGGUGCAAGCACCAACUAAACGCCCUGUGAGUGAAUCAAAACAGGAAAAGACAUGCGGCCUGUCCUAUCCACCGUCCUGCUUACAGACCAUUUUAUUUGGAUAAAUUGCAGAGGCACAAACAACUCGAGUGUCUGUGCGACCACACGCUCCGCCUCUCAGUCAAUCCAGACAAAUUCUAUGAAUUGUGCUGAAGCUUUUAAGCUGUAAUUGAGCACAGGAUGCAAAACCAAAGCCAGCUCUGUACAGGCCUGCGUUUUUAUAGCUGCCAUAGUAUUCUGCUGCGUUUUUUUCUCCCCGGCCAGACAGACACCACAAAACAGGCCAAGCGUGAAAGGAAGUCGCCACCUACACGGACUCAAAGUGAGCAGCUGAGGAUUUUAAACGACAUAGAAACGUGUGUCUGUACACAAAUAAGGUGACAGAAAUGUGGGCCGACCGCGAUGGCGACGACUGAUGCGGACCACACAGAGGCCAUGCAGGGGGAAGUGAGCAACUCCACGGUCAACGGGAGCACCUCUGACUCACCAAUGGAGACAAUGCUGGAUCAGCCUGCAGAGGGUAUCCUGGGAAACAAGGCGUCAGCAGGAGCGGGCCUGCAUGGACAAAAGGACAUAAACUAGACUUUAGUGGGGGAAUAAAUGACAUAGACAGAAAG